Long non-coding RNA from Canis lupus familiaris (dog), 2539 nucleotides. RefSeq lists it as uncharacterized. NCBI's taxonomy places the organism in Eukaryota, Metazoa, Chordata, Mammalia, Carnivora, Canidae. The transcript has 2 exons. The record is from RefSeq and is a predicted model, not a curated record.
GUUAUCUAUGACGUAGGGGUCAUCAUCAUGUCCAUUUGCCAGGAUUGUUGUGGGGAUUAAAGACGCGACGCCUGUCAAGUGCUUAGCCUUUUCAUUGCAAGCUCUCAGUACAUUUUCCUUCUAGCUGCUAACGAGACCCCGAGACAGGCACUGCUGGUGCCCCGCGGGACCGUGGAUGAGCUAGUGACCUUCUCUGGGCCUUGAUUGUCAUCUGUACGACAAGGGAGGGAAUCAAGGAGGCACCCGAUGGCUAAUUCCUGAGCAGUUACUGUGUGCUUGCCCCGGGGCUGAGCCCCAGCCACAGAGAUAAAGGAGCCAUGGCCCUGUCUUUGGGGGGCUCCUGUGUGGUUAGAUACAAGCACUGCGGGACCACCCGGUGCUUGCCAGGCAGGGUGAUAAGCACUGCACAUCCAUGAACUCCAUCAAUCAUAAUGUUGAUGACAACGCCACUGUCCCUGUUUUAAAGGGCAUCAGGAGGCACAUAGGACCUCCAGGACUCUGCCAAGGUCACCCAGUGACAUCAGAGUGGGGCUCGAAACCUGGAGAUCAAUUCUGCUCUAUCACCCUUCUAGCAUAAAUAUCAUGUGAUUCUCUACGACCAUGAGACAGACGCUUUGGAGAUUGUGCCAAGGCCCAGAUAAACACAGGUAUCCCCCGCUUUUCAGACAUUUGCUUUAUGUCACCUCACUUUGACAAAAGACCUACACUGGUAUCUGCUUUCACGGACCCAAAGAAAAUCGAAGAGGGUUUUUGCUUUUCGGGGGGCGGUGUGGGGGCAAAAAGCAAAACUAGCAUUCGGGAUUUGUGCAUCGCAGCGAGCUGUUACAAAGGCAGCGCACCCCCCACACCCCCAGCAAGCGCGGCCCGCCAAGCUCCUUCCCCAGAAACUCCACUCAGCAUCUCAGCAUCAAGCAGCCAUAGCCCUGAGCUGCGUCUGUGAGCAUCUGUGUCUGAUCUUGACUUAUUUUGUGCAGCCGUUAGCAAGAUGUGCCCUAAGGUAUCAGAGAAGCCUGAGAGAGGAUAUUUUUGGGGUCUGAGGACGCUCCAAAGUUUUUCCAUAAUACUGUUAACUGCUUCUUCCCUUUAUGCCAUUUCAGCUUCCGAAAGUUUGGAGCCUGUGCCUGUACCCUCUUUUCCUAAUAUUUCGCGCUUUCUCUUCUUCCUGCCUCUCUCUUAUCUCCCUGCACUUCCAUCAAUAUCGUCUGCAUUGGCUACCAGGCAUGGAGGUGAACGGUGAACGUUUUUCUCUUUUCUCUGCUCACACCAUCCCCACUGACGCUGCAAGGAAGAGACGGGCUGUGGUCCUAAAGCAGAAGUGAUAACUGGGAGACACUCCUUACGACAUCCUGCAUCAGUCUGCUUUGAGCCUCUGCCUGUGUCCAGGCUGGGAUCCCACUCCUCUCCACCGCCCAUCUCUCUCAAUGAGGCGUUCCUUAUGAAACAAACCCCUACCCGUUCUCCCCUCCAGCAGACGUCAGCUUGCCAACUGGGAAUCAUUAUUACGUGGCUUGUGUUUGACCUCCGAUGUUCCCAGCCCGACUUUCAAGAAAAUGUGGUCUUCAUACCAUUCCCAUCUACGACCUUUCAGCCUCGUUGAACCAAGCAUUUGGAAGGCUGCACAGCAAUGUGGUUGAAUACAUUCCAGUGGAGAAGAGGAAAGGGGAGGAGUUCCUAAUGACUAUGCCAUAGAAAAAGGCUCUCUAAGAUUGCCAUAAAAACAGAGGAGAAAAGAACCGACAGCUUCAUGGUCCUCUACCUGCGAGGCUUCAUUUACUGGGCAGGACGUGGUGCUUGCAACUGUCCUUUGGGGACACAGGAAAGGUUUAGAAACUCAAUUUUACAGACGAGAAGGGAAGCCAUUUGUUAUGGGUCACUCACUAGUAAAGGGACAGGAUAAUGGUUUUCUUCCCGAGAUCCAGAGUGCAACUCCGUACGCUGCCUCUUAUUAAAACAAAUGCAUAAAAAACAAACAACCCAGAGUCCAGUUCAACACAAAGCCGUACAAUUCACUCUUCCCUCUGCCUUUCAACUGCUCCAGCGUGUCCAAGUUUCCAGAACCAUCCACAGGAGAAGGGCAUCGGUUCGCCAGAGUUGGGGAACAGUAGCGACCCACUGAAAGUGACUUUGGUGAAGUCAGCCAAAGGAAGCUGCAGCACACACGGGAGAAUAAUAACACUUUCCUUCUGAAGAGGGCAGUGUGCAACCAAGGCCAGGUCGGCUCACGUGGUCAGGGCUUCCUUCCAGGUCUGGAAGGCCGGAGGCAGUGUAGCCCUCAGGAGCCCAGGCAUCUUGGGUUUCCAGGAGCUUAUUUCUGAACGACAAACACAUCUUCCGACAUGAAAUAGGAUUCUUGAGGUUUGAGCACAGUUACACACUGCCUCUCAUCAGAGGGUACACCGUGCAAACCGAUACUAAGGCGGUUAUGCAAGAUGGAUGGAAGAAGCCCCAGCGAGUUCUCUUUCCGGGCUCUUGCACUUGUCUGUCCCCCCAUCCCCCCCGCAAUUGGCCUCAUGAAAUUAAACAAUAGUGUGGCCUCCCA